This 5856-nucleotide long non-coding RNA is filed under the name Erythranthe guttata (spotted monkey flower). Its description in RNAcentral is "long non-coding RNA (EGUT_LNC003184)". The record is from RNAcentral. Lineage: Eukaryota; Viridiplantae; Streptophyta; Magnoliopsida; Lamiales; Phrymaceae.
AACUUCGUUUAUCCUUGUCCCGAUUUUGUGCCGGAAAAGAAUCUGGUUCGGCGUGUAGCGGCCGAAUUUGCUGUUUUUCUGCUUCAGCUUAGAGGUUUCUGUUGCAUACUCAUCCAAUAAGUCAUCAAUCUCAUAGAUAAGGUCGUUGAGCUUGAGUAGCCAAUCCUGAAUGGGCUUGCUUUCGAUUUGCUUCAUUUCAGCAUCUUCGACCACUGCUUGAACGGUGGAAAGUGUGCUCGACAGCUUCUUCAUCUCCUCACCGACACCCGUAAUCAGUGCAAACUCAUCUUCGAUCAGUGUGCUCAGGUUUGCAAGAACUACUUGAAGCAAUGCCUCUGCCAUUUCUCAACCAAUAAUUAAAAUGCAGAAAAACUCUGAGAUUUCCUUUUUUUUUUUUUUUUUUUGUGUGAUUGGGAGCUUAAUUAUAUGUAGAGAUCUUGAUGUAUUUUAUCAGAUCAAAUGCAUUUGGAGUACUCAAACAACAAAUGGCCGACAUGUUUAAGAAUGUGAUGUGUUGGAAAUAAAAUAGUAAUUGUUGUUAAUAAAGUAGUAAUAUUUUGUUUGAAUAAGUUGAUCUAUCUAACCACUCUUGGGCAACUCCUAUCAAAAAAAAAACCACUCUUGGGCAACGAAUGCAUGUGGGCGCCGCGUUCAAAGCUGAAGUCUCCAAUAUUGACUACGUUGCCUAAAAAAAAAAAAAAAAGAUACUUUUUUUGCAUUUUCUAUUGCAACUUGCAGAUCAUAUAUAUUUUUUCUAUUAGUGCAGGUGAGCUUUGAAUAGACGGUGGAAAUUAAUUGGGGAGAUGAGUAGUUGAGUUUGUAAGCUUACUUUAAUAUUGGGUGGUGAAUAGGACAUAUUUUAGCAUACAAUAUAGUAAAUUUAUUUGACAAGAUAACAAUAUAGAAAAUAUGAGGUGGCCGGUAAUUUUGUUUUGUUUUUUUUUUUUUUUUUUAUAUGGUUGUUACUUGAAGUUGGUGGGAUAAACAGACAAAAGGUUUUUUGAACAUGAAUUUUCCGGCAAAAAAAUCUGAAUAUAAGGAAAAAUUGAGUACCAACAUGCCAACAACAUAUUGAUGAACAAGCUCCAACGACCCAAACAAACGGCAAUCAAACUAAUAUCAAAUUAAAGGCGCGUGUAGAUCAACAAGAAGCUUGCACCAAAAGGCGAAAUCCCUCGUCCCCAGGGUUCCAUUCCUUGGCCCGACAAUGAUUGAUGGAGGAAUGUAAAUCAUGGUAACUCAACGGCCAGAGUCCCCGUAUCCGACACCUGGACACUCGGACACACCCGAACACUUCUCGGACACCCGUGUCGAGCCGUGUCUUAAUUUCGCUAAAAGUAGGACACCCGUAUCGGGCAGUGUCUACAAUUUUAAAAAAGUUGGGACACUUCUCUUGCGUUUUAAGAGAGAACCCUAAUGAAAAAAAAUGCGUAUUUUCUUUUCUCUGUAACGAGCAUUUUUCCCCCGUGCGAUGCAUGGGAUAUUAUUUAAAUAGUGAAAAAAAUAAUCAAUUUAAUAUAUAAUAAGAAAAUAUAGUAUACUAAUAUAAUAAAAUUUAAUAAUGUAAUAUUAUUCAUAUUGAAUUUCUAACUUUAUCUAUUAAGAUUUGAGAUAUAUUGAUGAAAAUUAGGAGAUCAAUAAUUGUUGAAAAUUAUAGUUAAAAAAUUAGUAUAUAAAAAAUAUUAAAAAUAAAUAAUUACAUAAAUAGCAAUAAGAUAGGAUUCUUUACGGGUUAGUUUUAAUUUUGAUAAUUGUUAAAAAUUAUAGUUAGAAAUUAGUAGAGAAAAAAUAUUAAAAAUAAAUAAUUACAGAAAUACCAUUAGGGUUUUUUAGGGUUGCCCAGCGUUUCUUUCUUUUAUAUAUAAGAUACAUAUUUCCUCUGUUUUCUUUGUGAGUCCAUCCAAAACUCCAAAAGUCUAGCAUGCGACGGCGACCAAGAACACGAACAAGGGUGAGCGGUUCUCUUAUGCAUGACGACUUAUACAUAUUUUUUACAAUUUAUAAAUGUACCCCUAUAUUUUUAUUAUUUAUAAAUAUAUACCUAUAUUUUUUAUAUUUACGCGUAUCCCCGCGUGUCCGUAUCCUAGUUUUUUGGAAAUGUUGUAUCACCGUGUCCGUAUCCGCGUAUCGUCGUGUCCACGUAUCCGUGUCCGUGCAGCAUAAACUGCGGCUGCCAUGAUCCGAUCCUAGGACCUUGCACCAACUUACCACCUACGGAAUCAGUUGAACUACACUAAUGCGGGCUAGAUCAACAAGAAGUAGUUUCCUCAAAACGAUGUAUCUGUAGAAAUCAACACAUUAUCUAACUACAUAUACAAGUAAAAGUGAAACAACAUAAUAGAAUGCCGAAAGGAAAGGCAAUAUUUGUUCAUUAGUUUCACUCCUAGAAAAAACUCAUCAUCAGCAUAUACUGCAAUACCAGAUCAUCUUGUUUUCAAUAGCUUAUGACAAAGAAGCAUGGAAGAAAAUUCAGAGUGGAAAUAGACAAGUUGAAAGAAUUUUUAUUUAUUUUGGCCAAAAAAGGAAAUUUUAUUUCAUAUAAAAGAACAUGGGGACCUCGUUAAAAACCUUGUUGGUCGGAACAAGGAAAAGAGUACCCCUAAAUACAAUUUCGAAAAACCCCUAGAAUAUAAUACAUAAAAAAGAAAGAAAAAUCCUGUCUAUGCUAUAUAAUGAGUUGAGCAGUUACGAAAGUACCGAAAAUUGCAAAAGAAAAAUCCAUAUAAUUACACGGUGACAAUUUGUAAUCACGAACUACUACUAAUGUACAAGUAGCGAAUAUGUUGUAUCUUGUGCCGGUCCUCCCCCUUUGCUCUCUCGCAUCUCUUUUCCAAUUCCGGGCAUCCACACACUUGCAGAUAUUGGAGAUUUGUCAUUCUUCGGAUACUAUCCGGAAGUGAUGCUAUCUUUGGGCAAUCGUGAAUGAACAGUUCUUUAAGAGAUGUUAAAUCUCCGAACCAGUCCGGCAGUGAACUCAACUGAGGGAGCUCGUACAUUUGUAGACUUUUGAGUGAGGACGAGAGGUGUUGCAAGGGUUUGGGUACACUCACCAUCUUCGGUAGGUCGCGUAGCAAUACCGUGUGAAGGCGGUGGAGGUGUUUAAUACCAUCCGGCAGCUCUACAAGCGCCGGGCAUUUGAGUAUGUACAGUUCCUCCAGAGCAGUGAGGUGUUGCAGCCCUUGUUCGGGCAGAGAGAGUUCGGUUGUAUCUGUUGUGCCAAUACUCAAUAUCUUGAGAUUGGUGAGGCUUUGCAGUGUCUCAACUCCAACGGUACAUGCGUCGCCACUAUUCUCCUCCUCGAAAAUCACUUGAAGAUUCGUAAGGUUGUGCAGGUCCGCAUUGGACAAUGAAGACAGUAAGAGUUUCGUGCACGUCAAUUUAUUCAACUUUGUAAAGGACGUCGACAGUGGUGGCAGUAUUAACGAAGGGCAGCGUUCGACGUAUAGCUCCUCGAGAUUCGAGAAUGCUUCAGAUAAUCUCAUCAUCACUUGCUCUUGUAUCAACAUUUUGAUGUUGGGGAGAUAUCUCAAACUCAGUUUUUCCAGAGAUGGGAAUUGUCUAGCGCUUACUAAUGCAUUUCCACUCCGAACUACUUCUUCCUCGAUAACGUACUCCAGCGCCGUCAGAGUAGCUAAACUCAUUUUUUUAAGACGGGGUAGCUUUCCCAGCUGCGGUAGGCGCAAGCAAUUGUUACAGUUUAUUAGAUGAAUUUCAACUACUUUGUCCAGAGUUGAAUUCGACAUCCAAACCGGUAAACACCUACCCAUGAAUGCCCUUAUCUCAAAAAUUUCGAGAUUUGGAUGAGGUUCAAGUGCUUCCAACAUCUUCUCAUCUAUAUCUAAAUCUUCCUCCCCUGAUUUUAGUGCAUGCUUGCCAUUACUUCCCCAAUCCAAACCCAGACAACGAAGAUUUUCUUUAUCGGCAAGAUUGGCUUUCUCUGCAUCCAUAGGGUCUUUCACCCUAUCCAGAUGAUGAAUUUUAAGAUUGCCGCCCAACUUCAACCGUUGCAAUUCCUCAAGUCGUCUACCUCCAUCACGACCCACUAUGAACUUACUCAAUGUUCUAAGGCUACUAAGUUCUCCAAUUUUAGAUGGCAUCCCCCUUAACGAGUCACAAUAUUCCAAGAAUAGAUGACGGAGAUUAAUUAAGUACCUCAUCUUCUUCGGUAAAGCCUCAAGCUUUUUGCAGUUCCAAAUUCAAAACAUGCAAGUUCCAUAGACUACAUACUGAGUCGGGUAGCCUACGAAUUUCAGUUCCAGACAAAUUCAAGUUCCGCAAAUGUUUCAAACUGCAUACUGCAGAAGACAAUUAAUUCAUUCUUAUCUUACUUGCAUCUAAUAUUCUCAAACUGAAAAAGUUUUUUAAGAUGAAAGACAUAUCCAUCUCUGAUUUAUAACUCGAAGGGAAGGCCACAAACUUUUUUCGUAGAUUUACCUGGCGGAUUUUGCUGCGAGAUGCACUUCUGACGUUCGUCCUCUGGACUUGUGCUCCAGGAAUUUUGUUCUCCAUGAUUGACUGGGCGAGGUCAUGAAGAAGAUCAUGCAUAAUCAAAGUGGUUGUAUUUGCAUCGGAAUCAUAUUGCAAAAUGGACCGCAUAACUAGCUCAUCACAUAUAUCAUUGCCAACAUCCACCGCUUCCAGUGCUCCCCUUGAUGACAUAUAUCCAUGCGCCAUCCACAUAUAGAUCAUUUUUUUUUUUCUUAAUACGAGAACCCUUGGGAAAGAUAGCGCAAUAAGCAAAACAUUGUCUCAACGCCAAAGAAAGAUGGUGGUAGCUCAAUCUCAAGGCUGGCAGUAUCAAAUUUUCUUCUUGUGGUAGUUCCCAUAUUUCACUUUCUUUGACAUGAUUCCAAUCCUUCUCUUCCCUCUUAAAACGCAACAGACCUCCAAGCGCCUUAGCAGCCAAAGGAACACCAGCACACUUGUUCGCAAUCUGCUUCCCUAUGGCUUCAAGCUUGGGAAAUUGCUCGUUCUCCUGUCCGAAUGCGCGUUCUCGGAGCAGCAUCCAACAGUAUUGUUUCGACAACCCUGUCAACAGAUGUGAUGGAAGUGUUCUCAUUAUAUCUGCAUUUUUUUUUAGGCGUGUGGUGACGAUAAUCGAACUCCCAGUGGAGCCACAUGCAACUACUUUUUUUAACUCAAACCACUUCUCUUGAUCGUCAUUCCACACAUCAUCCAAUACAAGCAAGUACAUUUUGUUGUUCAGCAACUCCCAGAGUCAACGCUGUAAAGUGUCCAAGCGCGACAAGUCCGGAGCACUGUCAGCCCGAGAUUCGAUCAUGGCUUUCACCAAGGUCUUGAGAUCGAAAUUAUCAGAGACACAAACCCAAAUUCUUUCGUCGAAAUGGUCAACGACCCGUCGAUCGUUGUAGACUAAUUGAGCUAAAGUAGUCUUGCCAAGUCCUCUAACACCAAUAAUGGGCAGGAUGGAGAUUUCGUCGUUGUCGUUGACCUGGUUGACCAAGAUAUCAACAAUCUUCUCCGCGUCUUCUUCUCUACCAUAAACUUGAUGAUAAGACUCGUUCAGAAUGGAACCGGUCUCACGUGCGGCAGCCACCUCAAUUGGCCUCUCUCGAAACGCCAUCUCGCGCAAAUGGAACUUUGCACGCUCUGCAGCAACCUCGUCCAAUUUUUGUGAAACUUCGUUUAUCCUUGUCCCGAUUUUGUGCCGGAAAAGAAUCUGCUUCAGCGUAUAGCGGCCGAAUUUGCUGUUUUUCUACUUCAGCUUAGAGGUUUCUGUUGCAUACUCAUCCAAUAGGUCAUCGAUCUCGUACAUAAGUUCGUUAAGCUUGAGUAGCCAAUCCUGAAUGGGCUUGCUUUCGAUUUGCUUCAUUUCAGCAUCUUCGACCACUGCUU